GCACCGUCAGCGAAGAUGCUACAUCUUCAUUGGCGGCCCGCUUUACUUAGCCGCCAGCGAAAAUCUAUUUUUGCUGGCGGUUCAUAGCCUCACACCCCUCGUUACAUUUUUGCUAGCGAUUUUUGCAUAUGGCCGCCAGAUAAAAUGAUAGUGUGACGCCAUGAAAAAUCUUUUUUCUAGUUGUGUUCUCAAAGACCAUAAAAUUUCUCUGAUCAUAUAUAUUGUGACCUCAGUGGCACAUUGUGAUAGCAGAAACCUUUCGAUCAAAAUGUGCAUCGCAUCAUCCAUCAACACAUUUCGUGCAGUCCACUAGUACGUUAGCCAUCUGUACCAAUGAAUUUUUACCUACACAAGCCAUGCAGAUAGUUUUGUGGGUCAACAAUAAUUUUUACCUACUAAGAAUUUUAAGACUGGGAGGCAUCGGUAAAUUAUAUAUCCAUCUCAGUUUUUCUCAGGUGGCCGUGCUGCUAACAUGAAUCUGUGGCAUAUGGUCAGAGAGAGCACAAGAUUAUUUCUGCUGCUCCACUUUCGUUGGGUGCUUCUUGCCACUGAAUCAAAUGGUGCAAACAAAGAAGUGAAGCAAAACACGAAGCAUCAGUUCCUGACUGCUCGACAAACUGUAAAUUAACCGGGUACAGCAGGAAAUAAACGUAGGAGAGCAGAUGCUGAUGAGCUGACUUCCCUUGAUUUCAAUAUUUGAACAAGGCCUAUGUAAAAAUAGACUAUGUACAAUUUGUUCUGACACGUUAAUUGUGAAUAGUUAGUAGAGCUC
Oryza sativa Japonica Group (Japanese rice) is the source of this 772-nucleotide non-coding RNA. The record is from RefSeq and is a predicted model, not a curated record. Lineage: Eukaryota; Viridiplantae; Streptophyta; Magnoliopsida; Poales; Poaceae.